This is a long non-coding RNA of Oxyura jamaicensis (ruddy duck), 720 nucleotides long. RefSeq lists it as uncharacterized. NCBI's taxonomy places the organism in Eukaryota, Metazoa, Chordata, Aves, Anseriformes, Anatidae. The transcript is spliced from 3 exons. The record is from RefSeq and is a predicted model, not a curated record.
UCACGUUUCAGGGCUGUACAGUAAUGGUGCUUCUAACUCUGGUUUGCCAGAGAAUUGUGUUAUAAAUAGUCAUGGUAAAUCGAAACAGUCUUUCACCAUGAGUUUUCUAAAAUGGAACAGUCUAUCAGGUUACGGAGGAAAGACAAGGAUGCCACUGUGCAUUAGGGAUGUUAGUGUAUUUAAGCAUUGAGGCACCAGGGAGUUGUGGUUCAGACCCACCAAAGGUGGUUUGUUAAAAUGUAGCUGUAGUGCAUCACAGGACAGGAGGGAAAGGGAUGUGUGUGUGUGGAUGUACAUACAGGUUCACACAAGGACAACAAUCACUGGAUCCUUGAGUCAAGAGUGUUCGGCAGUGGCCAACAACAUCUGAAGAUGAAAAGGCAUGUUUACCUUCCUAAAGUGAAGGCAUCUCUGCCUGAGGACAAAAAGGGACUGAGGAGCUCCUUGAAUGCAAUUUUAAGUGAAUGCAUUGCUAAUAGAUCAGCUUCCCUGGCAAAGACUCCCCAAACGAGGGUGGUCACUGGGCAGUUGAAGUGAGGAGGUACCAGCUGGGGCAUUUUCUCACCAGUCAGUGGUCUCAGGGCCUGAGAGACCACAGCCUAACCUGAGAGAUCCCAUAAAAGAGCCUCUGCAGGAUGGCCUCCUCCUCAUGCCAGCGUAUGGGAGAUGUAAUGUGCUACCUGUGGCCAAGGGCUGUCUCCACCAAGGCCAUGAUGGCAA